CCUACGGGUGGCAGCAGUGGGGAAUAUUGCACAAUGGGGGAAACCCUGAUGCAGCGACGCCGCGUGAAGGAAGAAGUAUUUCGGUAUGUAAACUUCUAUCAGCAGGGAAGAAAGUGACGGUACCUGACUAAGAAGCCCCGGCUAACUACGUGCCAGCAGCCGCGGUAAUACGUAGGGGGCAAGCGUUAUCCGGAUUUACUGGGUGUAAAGGGAGCGCAGGCGGCGAUGCAAGUCAGGAGUGAAAGCCCGGGGCCCAACCCCGGGACUGCUUUUGGAACUGCAUGGCUGGAUUGCAGGAGGGGCAGGUGGAAUUCCUGGUGUAGCGGUGAAAUGCGUAGAUAUUAGGAGGAACACCAGUGGCGAAGGCGGCUUGCUGGACUGUAAAUGACGCUGAGGCUCGAAAGCGUGGGGAGCAAACAGGAUUAGAUACCCUAGUAGUC
RNAcentral lists this ribosomal RNA (440 nucleotides) under uncultured bacterium. RNAcentral's name for it is "partial 16S ribosomal RNA". It matches the Rfam family "Bacterial small subunit ribosomal RNA", at positions 338 to 795 of the family's 1533-position model. The record is from RNAcentral.